Molecule: ribosomal RNA, 852 nt
Filed under: Physaloptera mirandai
Lineage: Eukaryota; Metazoa; Nematoda; Chromadorea; Rhabditida; Physalopteridae
Description: SSU rRNA
Rfam family: Eukaryotic small subunit ribosomal RNA
Source: RNAcentral
UGCAUGUCUAUGUUCAAAUAACCUAUAAUGGUGAAACCGCGAACGGCUCAUUAUAACAGCUACAAUGUACUUGAUCUUGAUUAUCCUACGUGGAUAACUGUGGUAAUUCUAGAGCUAAUACAUGCACCAAAGCUCUGACUUUUGGACGAGCGCAUCUAUUAGAUUAAAACCAAUCGGGCUUCAACCCGUCAUUUGGUGACUCUGAAUAGCUAUGGCUGAUCGCAUGGUCUUGUACCGGCGACGUAUCUAUCAAGUGUCUGCCUUAUCAACUUUCGAUGGUAGUUUAUGUGCCUACCAUGGUUGUAACGGGUAACGGAGAAUAAGGGUUCGACUCCGGAGAGGGAGCCUGAGAAACGGCUACCACAUCCAAGGAAGGCAGCAGGCGCGCAAAUUACCCACUCUCGGCAUGAGGAGGUAGUGACGAAAAAUAACGAGACCGUUCUCUUUGAGGCCGGUUAUCGGAAUGGGUACAAUUUAAACCCGUUAACGAGGAUCUAUGAGAGGGCAAGUCUGGUGCCAGCAGCCGCGGUAAUUCCAGCUCUCAAAGUGUAUAUCGUCAUUGCUGCGGUUAAAAAGCUCGUAGUUGGAUCUGCGCCUCAGGACCUGGUCCGUCUUAUGGACGAGAACUGGGCUCCUAGGCUAAUACUGCCGGUUUUCUUUACGUUACCUUCAUCGGUCGCGUAAGGUGGCCGGCGAGUUUACCUUGAAAAAAUUAGAGUGCUCAAAGCGGGCUAAUGCCUGAAUAUUCGUGCAUGGAAUAAUGAAAUAGGAUCUCGGUUCUAUUUUGUUGGUUUUCUGAUCUGAGAUAAUGGUUAAGAGGGACAGACGGGGGCAUUCGUAUCGCUGCGUGAG